AGUGCGUCUUAAGCAUGCAAGUCAAACGGAAUGUAGCAAUACAUUUAGUGGCGAACGGGUGAGUAACGCGUGGAUGAUCUACCUAUGAGAUGGGGAUAACUACUAGAAAUAGUAGCUAAUACCGAAUAAGGUCAAUUAAUUUGUUAAUUGAUGAAAGGAAGCCUUUAAAGCUUCGCUUGUAGAUGAGUCUGCGUCUUAUUAGUUAGUUGGUGGGGUAAAUGCCUACCAAGACGAUGAUAAGUAACCGGCCUGAGAGGGUGAACGGUCACACUGGAACUGAGAUACGGUCCAGACUCCUACGGGAGGCAGCAGCUAAGAAUCUUCCGCAAUGGGCGAAAGCCUGACGGAGCGACACUGCGUGARUGAAGAAGGUCGAAAGAUUGUAAAAUUCUUUUAUAAAUGAGGAAUAAGCUUUGUAGGAAAUGACAAAGCGAUGACGUUAAUUUAUGAAUAAGCCCCGGCUAAUUACGUGCCAGCAGCCGCGGUAAUACGUAAGGGGCGAGCGUUGUUCGGGAUUAUUGGGCGUAAAGGGUGAGUAGGCGGAUAUAUAAGUCUAUGCAUAAAAUACCACAGCUCAACUGUGGAGCUAUGUUGGAAACUAUAUGUCUAGAGUCUGAUAGAGGAAGUUAGAAUUUCUGGU
This 640-nucleotide ribosomal RNA is filed under the name Borreliella afzelii. RNAcentral describes it as "bacterial SSU rRNA". Lineage: Bacteria; Pseudomonadati; Spirochaetota; Spirochaetia; Spirochaetales; Borreliaceae. The record is from RNAcentral.